This 909-nucleotide long non-coding RNA is filed under the name Lupinus angustifolius (narrow-leaved blue lupine). RNAcentral describes it as "long non-coding RNA (LANG_LNC002871)". Lineage: Eukaryota; Viridiplantae; Streptophyta; Magnoliopsida; Fabales; Fabaceae. The record is from RNAcentral.
GACCUACAUGUGACGAAGUUUUUAAGGUUAUGUCAUCCACUCCUUCCUUGGCCCAAGAGAAACAUAAUCACGAAAAGCUACGCUAGCUUGGACACGUUUCGCCCAACCAUUGAUUGGAACAAAAGCAAACCAUGAAAGUCACUUUUUUCUAUCACCGUUGCUGAAACAACCUUAGCUUUGAAAGAUACACACGCCUCAACAACCCUUCGAAGCAAACAGCAUUUUUAAGAUUCCGCCGUUAACAUGUCGAACGCCAAAGAUAAGAGAAAGCAUGGCGAAGAUUCUGUCUUUCUGAAGAGCCAGAAGAAGACUCGGGAGGAUGUGACAGAUGAGGAGGUGGAAGAGUUCUACGCUAUUCUCCGGCGUAUAAAUACGGCGAUGAAAUACUACAAGAGUGGCCGUGAUAACGUGGCAUCUUUGGAGAAAGAGAUCAGGCAGGAACUGAAAGGAGCAACAAUGAGUGGGAGUGAGAAGGAAGAGAAUGUUGAACUGAAUUUGAAUUUCAGUUUGGAUCUAAAUCUCAUUUCCAAAUCCCAACGUGAGUAGUGUUGUUAGUCUAAUAUUCUUUACAUCUAUCUUACCAGGUUGCUCUAUUUUCUUCUUCUUUCUUUUCAAUAGUAUUUAACAUUUUAUAAUUCAAUAAUGAUGGGAGUGUAAGUUUAAAAAACUUACUUCAUAUCUUACUCAUCAAUACUUAUAAAUUUAAUGGUUUGGAUCUACUUAUUAAUUUAAAUUAUUAAAUUUCCAAAACAUUGAUAGUUAAGAGGUAGAUUGAAGUAAAUAAAUCCCUUCUCUUCAAUCAUUACUGCUCCAUUUUGUUUAGUUGCAAACUUAGUUACAAUGUAUUAAGAUAUAAUUAAAGUGAUUUCCUAGCUCUUAAUUUGUUGACUUAAAAACUGGGCAUUGAAG